GACGAACGCUGGCGGCGUGCUUAACACAUGCAAGUCGAACGGAAAGGCCUUUUCGGAGGUACUCGAGUGGCGAACGGGUGAGUAACACGUGGGUGAUCUGCCCUGCACUCUGGGAUAAGCCUGGGAAACUGGGUCUAAUACCGGAUAGGACCGCACUUUAGUGUGUGUGGUGGAAAGUUUUUUCGGUGUAGGAUGAGCCCGCGGCCUAUCAGCUUGUUGGUGGGGUAAUGGCCUACCAAGGCGGCGACGGGUAGCCGGACUGAGAGGUUGGUCGGCCACAUUGGGACUGAGAUACGGCCCAGACUCCUACGGGAGGCAGCAGUGGGGAAUAUUGCACAAUGGGCGCAAGCCUGAUGCAGCGACGCCGCGUGGGGGAUGACGGCCUUCUGGUUGUAAACUCCUUUCGCCAGGGACGAAGCGUUUUGUGACGGUACCUGGAGAAGAAGCACCGGCUAACUACGUG
This 463-nucleotide ribosomal RNA is filed under the name uncultured bacterium. RNAcentral's name for it is "partial 16S ribosomal RNA". It matches the Rfam family "Bacterial small subunit ribosomal RNA", at positions 28 to 507 of the family's 1533-position model. The record is from RNAcentral.